RNAcentral lists this ribosomal RNA (570 nucleotides) under Bacillus sp. (in: firmicutes). RNAcentral's name for it is "bacterial SSU rRNA". It matches the Rfam family "Bacterial small subunit ribosomal RNA", at positions 94 to 649 of the family's 1533-position model. The record is from RNAcentral. Lineage: Bacteria; Bacillati; Bacillota; Bacilli; Caryophanales; Bacillaceae.
AGCGGCGGACGGGUGAGUAACACGUGGGUAACCUGCCUGUAAGACUGGGAUAACUCCGGGAAACCGGGGCUAAUACCGGAUGGUUGUUUGAACCGCAUGGUUCAAACAUAAAAGGUGGCUUCGGCUACCACUUACAGAUGGACCCGCGGCGCAUUAGCUAGUUGGUGAGGUAACGGCUCACCAAGGCAACGAUGCGUAGCCGACCUGAGAGGGUGAUCGGCCACACUGGGACUGAGACACGGCCCAGACUCCUACGGGAGGCAGCAGUAGGGAAUCUUCCGCAAUGGACGAAAGUCUGACGGAGCAACGCCGCGUGAGUGAUGAAGGUUUUCGGAUCGUAAAGCUCUGUUGUUAGGGAAGAACAAGUACCGUUCGAAUAGGGCGGUACCUUGACGGUACCUAACCAGAAAGCCACGGCUAACUACGUGCCAGCAGCCGCGGUAAUACGUAGGUGGCAAGCGUUGUCCGGAAUUAUUGGGCGUAAAGGGCUCGCAGGCGGUUUCUUAAGUCUGAUGUGAAAGCCCCCGGCUCAACCGGGGAGGGUCAUUGGAAACUGGGGAACUUGAGUGC